This 976-nucleotide long non-coding RNA is filed under the name Androctonus crassicauda. The record is from RNAcentral. Lineage: Eukaryota; Metazoa; Arthropoda; Arachnida; Scorpiones; Buthidae.
UAUGUCGGUGCUCUGCUUUCUUGGUGAUCGGUCUUGUGGCUGCUGGGGUCUUGUGCGUCUUUACACAUGCGGGUGGUCUCGGGCAGACUGGGUUUGUGGUCCUCCUGUGCUUCCGGGCUUGCGGGGGUGCGUUGUUCUUGACUGCUUUUUCGACUUUUGCUGCCGGUUUGAGUGUUGGGUCUCCGUUCGGCUGUUGCGGCUUUGAUUCUUGUAUAUAGUUUCUCAGAGGCUCAUCGUACUUGUUUUCUUGCAUUACUACAAUCUUCUUCGUUUUAUCCUCUCUUGUGAUUAUUAAGUCAUUCUGAUGUGCUCAGAUCGUGGUUCUUCUAAUGAGGUUGGUUUCAUGGACGCCAGUGUUGUUUGGCUUCUUGGGUCGUUUCUGUUUCGUGGCCUGUCUUGCUUGGUGCCGCCUGUGCUUGUGCUUGGUGCUGUCACUUUCUUGCGUGUCCUUGAGCGGGUCUUCUAUUGUUGGCGCAUUGCUGCUUGGUUUGGGGAGGGGUGGCGCAUGCCGGGCUUUUCUGCGGUGGGUCCUUCCCGAAUUGCGGAGGCUGUGUGUCUCCAAUAACUGUUGCCAUUUUGUCUAGCUCUAGUUUCUUGAUUGUCCUGGCGGCUUUCUACUUUUUCAGUGGCCACUUCACUUUCUUGGCGUGUUGCUCUUGUGACUAAUAUCUACUGUUCUCUGUAUAUUUGCAGUGCACAUUUACUAUAAAAAGUCAUUUCAUACAUACUCUCAUUAUUAAUAAUAGUGCUGGAAAUAUUUAUUGUCAUGUGCAGGUGUGCAAUUCCUAGACAAGUGUGGCACAUGUCAAGCGCAUUGUUAUAUCUCAGGGUUUUUCAAUGAGGUAUUUCCAUGCCGUCGGCACUGCAAAUAUACAGAGACGUUUGUUUUAAAUUUAAACCUAUACUAUUUUGGUGUUUGGAAUGCGACGUUGUUUUUGUUUGAGUACUUGUUCUGGAAUGUUAAAUUCGUUUGGGC